UGAAGUUUUAUCUCUCUAUAUUAUCGAGCGUAUUCUUGUGAGUAUUUUGAGUAUACUUUGAGUAUUGCUAUACGGUGCAAGUUCAAGUCAUAGCCUAUAUCCGGUGUUUCAACUAGAAGUACUGUCUUUCGAGGUAAGGGAUGUUAUUUUCUUCUCAAAUGAUAUUAUUUCUUCAAUAUCAUUAUGCUGAAAUAUUGGUUGGAACUUUUUAUCAAAUUUGGAACUUUUUCAUGUCGGGGUUACUAUUCAUGAGUUACUAUUCACGAGUUACUAUUCAUGAGUUACUAUUCACGAGUUACUAUUCAUGAGUUACUAUUCACGAAGCGUGAAGAUGUUUUUUUGUGAAAUUUCUAUCUUUUGGUGUCGGAGUUACUAUUCAUGUAUACGGCAUUAUUCAC
RNAcentral lists this long non-coding RNA (398 nucleotides) under Panax ginseng (ginseng). RNAcentral's name for it is "long non-coding RNA (PGIN_LNC002779)". The record is from RNAcentral. Lineage: Eukaryota; Viridiplantae; Streptophyta; Magnoliopsida; Apiales; Araliaceae.